This 118-nucleotide ribosomal RNA is filed under the name Belliella calami. Its description in RNAcentral is "partial 16S ribosomal RNA". It matches the Rfam family "Bacterial small subunit ribosomal RNA", at positions 1407 to 1533 of the family's 1533-position model. The record is from RNAcentral. Lineage: Bacteria; Pseudomonadati; Bacteroidota; Cytophagia; Cytophagales; Cyclobacteriaceae.
GAAGUCGGGUAGACCUGAAGCCGGUAACCGCAAGGAGCCGUUUAGGGUAGAACCGGUAACUGGGGCUAAGUCGUAACAAGGUAGCCGUACCGGAAGGUGCGGCUGGAACACCUCCUUU